UACGGAGGGGGCUAGCGUUGUUCGGAAUUACUGGGCGUAAAGCGCACGUAGGCGGCUUUGUAAGUUAGAGGUGAAAGCCUGGAGCUCAACUCCAGAAUUGCCUUUAAGACUGCAUCGCUUGAAUCCAGGAGAGGCGGGUGGAAUUCCGAGUGUAGAGGUGAAAUUCGUAGAUAUUCGGAAGAACACCAGUGGCGAAGGCGGCCCGCUGGACCGGCAUUGACGCUGAGGUGCGAAAGCGUGGGGAGCAAACAGG
Molecule: ribosomal RNA, 253 nt
Filed under: uncultured bacterium
Lineage: Bacteria
Description: partial 16S ribosomal RNA
Rfam family: Bacterial small subunit ribosomal RNA
Source: RNAcentral